Molecule: long non-coding RNA, 402 nt
Filed under: Setaria viridis
Lineage: Eukaryota; Viridiplantae; Streptophyta; Magnoliopsida; Poales; Poaceae
Description: long non-coding RNA (SVIR_LNC010580)
Source: RNAcentral
AUGAAGUUGUUGUUGACACUUGGUCUGUUUGGAACUUGUGUGGUGUUGAUGGUUCCUGGGAUAGCCUGCCGUAGCCCAAAAGACAAGGAACAUUAGCUAAAAUAGAGGAGCCAAAAAAGGAGAACUGUGGUCCAAAGUUAUUACCUGCUGCAAUGCUAAUUGUAUUUGUUGUUGUAGUGUUGACUGGAAUUCUUCGUUGAUUUCUUCAAUUUGUUUCUUAGUUUCUUCCUUGUCUCUUUCCCUUGCUGAAACUACAAGUUCAAGCUUUUCUUUUAAUUCUUCAACCUCUUGUUGGUGCUGCAUUCUUUCUUGUCGAACUAAAACUUCAGUACAGGCUGCAUCUUCUUCUCUAUGUUUCAGUAGAGCAUUUCUUGUUGGAUAUUUCGCCAUGUAUCCAUGUCC